Molecule: microRNA precursor, 87 nt
Filed under: Mus caroli (Ryukyu mouse)
Lineage: Eukaryota; Metazoa; Chordata; Mammalia; Rodentia; Muridae
Description: miRNA (MGP_CAROLIEiJ_G0007119.1)
Source: RNAcentral
UACAGGAGGUUGUGAGCCACUAUGUGGUUGCUGAGAAUUGAACUCAGGACCUCUGGAAGAACAGUCAGUGCUUUUAACCGCUGAGCC